GAUGAACGCUGGCGGCGUGCCUAAUACAUGCAAGUCGAGCGAACGGACGAGAAGCUUGCUUCUCUGAUGUAAGCGGCGGACGGGUGAGUAACACGUGGGUAACCCACCUAUAAGACUGGGAUAACUUCCGGAAACCGUAACCAAUUCCGGCUAAUCUUUUGAACAGCAUGGUUCAAAAGUUAAAGACGGUCUUGCUUUCACUUAUAGAUGGAUCCGCGCGGCAUUAGCUAGUUGGUGAGGUAACGGCUUACCAAGGCAACGAUGCAUAGCCGACCUGAGAGGAUGAUCGGCCACACUGGAACUGAGACACGGUCCAGACUCCUACGGGAGGCAGCAGUAGGGAAUCUUGCGCAAUGGGCGAAAGCCUGACGGAGCAACGCCGCGUGAGUGAUGAAGGCCUUCGGAUCGUAAAGCUCUGUUAUUAGGGAAGAACAUAUGUGUAAGUAACUGUGCACAUCUUGACGGUACCUAAUCAGAAAGCCACGGCUAACUACGUG
Molecule: ribosomal RNA, 497 nt
Filed under: uncultured bacterium
Lineage: Bacteria
Description: partial 16S ribosomal RNA
Rfam family: Bacterial small subunit ribosomal RNA
Source: RNAcentral